RNAcentral lists this ribosomal RNA (253 nucleotides) under uncultured bacterium. RNAcentral's name for it is "partial 16S ribosomal RNA". It matches the Rfam family "Bacterial small subunit ribosomal RNA", at positions 524 to 776 of the family's 1533-position model. The record is from RNAcentral.
CACGUAGGGCGCAAGCGUUGUCCGGAAUUAUUGGGCGUAAGGAGCUCGUAGGCGGUCUGUUGCGUCCGCUGUGAAAACUCGGGGCUUAACCCCGAGCCUGCAGUGGAUACGGGCAGACUAGAGGUAGGUAGGGGAGAAUGGAAUUCCCGGUGUAGCGGUGAAAUGCGCAGAUAUCGGGAGGAACACCGGUGGCGAAGGCGGUUCUCUGGGCCUUACCUGACGCUGAGGAGCGAAAGCGUGGGGAGCGAACAGG